RNAcentral lists this ribosomal RNA (855 nucleotides) under Fannyhessea vaginae. RNAcentral describes it as "bacterial SSU rRNA". It matches the Rfam family "Bacterial small subunit ribosomal RNA", at positions 28 to 895 of the family's 1533-position model. Lineage: Bacteria; Bacillati; Actinomycetota; Coriobacteriia; Coriobacteriales; Atopobiaceae. The record is from RNAcentral.
GAUGAACGCUGGCGGCGCGCCUAACACAUGCAAGUCGAACGGUUAAAGCAUCUUCGGAUGUGUAUAAAGUGGCGAACGGCUGAGUAACACGUGGGCAACCUGCCCUUUGCACUGGGAUAGCCUCGGGAAACCGAGGUUAAUACCGGAUACUCCAUAUUUGUCGCAUGGCGAAUAUGGGAAAGCUCCGGCGGCAAAGGAUGGGCCCGCGGCCUGUUAGCUAGUUGGUGGGGUAGUGGCCUACCAAGGCAAUGAUGGGUAGCCGGGUUGAGAGACCGACCGGCCAGAUUGGGACUGAGACACGGCCCAGACUCCUACGGGAGGCAGCAGUGGGGAAUCUUGCACAAUGGGCGAAAGCCUGAUGCAGCGACGCCGCGUGCGGGAUGAAGGCCUUCGGGUUGUAAACCGCUUUCAGCAGGGACGAGGCCGCAAGGUGACGGUACCUGCAGAAGAAGCCCCGGCUAACUACGUGCCAGCAGCCGCGGUAAUACGUAGGGGGCAAGCGUUAUCCGGAUUCAUUGGGCGUAAAGCGCGCGUAGGCGGUCUGUUAGGUCAGGAGUUAAAUCUGGGGGCUCAACCCCUAUCCGCUCCUGAUACCGGCAGGCUUGAGUCUGGUAGGGGAAGAUGGAAUUCCAAGUGUAGCGGUGAAAUGCGCAGAUAUUUGGAAGAACACCGGUGGCGAAGGCGGUCUUCUGGGCCAUGACUGACGCUGAGGCGCGAAAGCUAGGGGAGCGAACAGGAUUAGAUACCCUGGUAGUCCUAGCUGUAAACGAUGGACACUAGGUGUGGGGAGAUUAUACUUUCCGUGCCGCAGCUAACGCAUUAAGUGUCCCUCCUGGGGAGUACGGUCGCAAGACU